RNAcentral lists this ribosomal RNA (1347 nucleotides) under uncultured organism. Its description in RNAcentral is "partial small subunit ribosomal RNA". It matches the Rfam family "Bacterial small subunit ribosomal RNA", at positions 157 to 1482 of the family's 1533-position model. The record is from RNAcentral.
CCGAUGCUAAGACCUUAUAAGUCUUCGAGCCCCAAGAAUUGAAAAGGAAAAAAGGCCUGAGCUACAGCUUAUCGAUGGACCCGCUGUGUGUUAACUAAAUGGCGAAGCAACGGCUCAACGAGGCCGCGAUGCAUAGACGACCAUGAGACGCUGAUCGGCCACAUUGCGACUGACACACCCUCCCAAACUCCUACGGGAGGCAACAUUAGAGGAAUCUUCCGCAAUGCACAUACGUCUGAUGUAUCAGCGCCAGCGAGAGUGACGAAAGUUUUCGGAUCUUAAAACUCUGUUGAUAGAGAAGAACAAGUGCUAGAGUAACUGUUAGGCGCCUUGACUGUAUCUAACCCGAAAGCCACGGCUAACUACGAGCCAUCACCCGACUUAUAUGCGUAAGUGGCAAGUCGUUGUCCGGAUUUAUUUGGCGUAAAGCGAGUGCAGGCGGUUCGUUAAGUCUGAUGUGAAAGCCCCGGGCUCAAUCUGGGAGGGUCAUUGGAAACUGGGGAGAUUGAGUGCAGAAGAGGAGAGUGGAAUUCCAGGUGUAGCGGUGAAAUGGGUAGAUAUAUGGAGGAACACCAGUGGCGAAAGAGACUCUCUGGUCGAUAACUGACGCUGAGCGUGGAAAGCGUGGGUAGCAAACAGGAUUAGAUACCCUGGUAGUCCACGCCGUAAACGAUGAGUGUUAAGUGUUGGAGUGUUUCCUCCGUUCACUAGCGCAGUUAAUACAUAAUGCACUCGGCGUGGGGAGUCGGACGUCAGGGUUGAAAAUCAAAGGAAUGGGCGGGGCCCAACCCAAGGGGCGGAGCAUGUGGUUUAAUUCGAAGCAAGGAGAAGAACCUUCCCAAGUCUUGACAUCAUAGAACCACUCAAGAGAUAGAGCUUUCCCUUGGGAGACAAAAGACCAGUGGGGCCAGGGUGUUGUUAGGUUGGGUUGGGGAAAGGUGGGGUAAAUUCCGCAACGAAGGCCACCCCUUUCUUAUAUUUCCCACCAUUCAGUUGGGCACUAUAGGGAGACUGCCGGUGACAAACCGGAGGAAGGUGGGGAUGACGUCAAAUCAUCAUGCCCCUUAUGACUUGGGCUACACACGUGUUACAAUGGAUGAUACAACGAGCAGAGAACUCGCGAGGGUAAGCGAAUUUCUUAAAACCAUUCUCAGUUGGGAUUGUAGUGUUGCAACUCACCUACAUGAAGCUCGGAAUCGUUAGUAAUCGGGGAUCAGCACGCCGCGGUGAAUACGUUCCCGGGUCUUGUACACACCGCCCGUCACACCACGAGAGUUGGUAACACCCAAAGUCGCUGAGGUAACCAUAAGGAGCCAGCCUUCUAAGGUGGGAUAGAUGAUUGGGGUG